GAUGAUAUAGCCAAGUUGGUUUUAUAAAAGGCAAAGAACUGCAAAUUCUUGAACCUCAGUUCAAAUCUGAGUAUCAUCU
Molecule: transfer RNA, 79 nt
Filed under: Nephromyces sp. ex Molgula occidentalis
Lineage: Eukaryota; Apicomplexa; Aconoidasida; Nephromycida
Description: tRNA-Cys
Rfam family: tRNA
About the family: Transfer RNA (tRNA) molecules are approximately 80 nucleotides in length.
Source: RNAcentral